AAAUAAUCAGUUUAAAUAUUCCUUUAAACAAUCCUUUUAGGUCUACAUUUCCUUUACACUGACUUCUUGGUAUAUGUACAAGUAUUUUGGGUGGAAUAUACCAUUAAGCCCAAUGUUCAAGGGUUCUUCUGGGAAUAUACCAUUAAACCAACCUUUUAGGUAAAUGUUCCAGGAUGUUGGGUAGAAUAUACCAUCAGAUCAACCUUUUAGGUCUACAUUGGAAGAUUUUAGAGUAGAAUAUUACUCCAAACCAUCCUUUAGGUCUACAUUUAAGGUGGAAUACUCCUUUACACCAAGAUUUUUUGGUCUACAUUGAAGGAUUUUAGGUGGAAUAUUCCUUUGAACGAACUUUUUAAGUUUAUGUUCAAGGAUGUUGGGUGGAAUAUACCAUCAGACCAACCUCCAAGGUCUACAGUAGUGAAUUUUAGGUGGAAUAUACCAUUAAACUCACCUUUUAGUCUACAUUUAAGGAUGUUUAGGAUGGUAUAUUCUUCCAAACCAACUUCUCAGGUCUACAUUUCAGGUGGAAUAUUCCUCCAUACUAACUUUUUUGGUCUACAUUGAAGGAUUUUUUUCUAAACCACCCUUUGGGGUCUAUAUUUGAGGUUUUAGGUGGAAUAUUCCUUUUAACCAGCCCCUCAGGUCUCUUUGAGGAUUUUGGAUGGAAUACUCAGUUAAAGCAACAUUUUAGGUGCAUGUCCAAGGAUUUUUGGUGGAAUGUUCCUUUAAGGUGGAUGUGUGAGGACCUUGUAGGUGGAAUACUUCCUGAAACCAACCUUUUAGGUCAACAUUCAAAGAUUUAAGGUGGAAUAUUCCUUUAAACCAACCUAAAUUUCAUGUUUUGAUCAUUAUCAAGUGAGAAACCUCAAUCCAGACUCCUCAUAAUGACGUUUGAGAUUUAUGCUGCUGUUAUUUGUUUAGUCCAGACUAAAUGACAGAAAUCCACAACUGUAAUUUUAUUUCAGGACUCGGUUAUUAAAUGUCAAAACAAUCCAUGUGACUCUAAAAACUCAACAGCUUUACAAACUCUAAGAUUAAACUCUCCACAAGGAUCCAAAAUAAGUUGGACUUCUACAUGAGAGCUUUAAUUAUUCUUCAUCUACUUCCU
Amphiprion ocellaris (clown anemonefish) is the source of this 1108-nucleotide long non-coding RNA. The record is from Ensembl. NCBI's taxonomy places the organism in Eukaryota, Metazoa, Chordata, Actinopteri, Pomacentridae.